ACCACCCUGGAGCCGAUCCCAUUGCCCCAGUCGAAGUAGAGGGGGAAACGGCGCAUGGACCGUACUCGAAGGAGAAGGAGAGGGAGAGGGAGGCGUGGCCCGCCUAGGCCGUAGCAGGCGGGGCGAAAGGUAAAAGGAAGGAGAAAACAAAACCCCCAUGAGGAAAAGGAAAAAAAGAUAUGGAAUUUUCUGUAAGAGCUGCGGA
Molecule: long non-coding RNA, 205 nt
Filed under: Arachis ipaensis
Lineage: Eukaryota; Viridiplantae; Streptophyta; Magnoliopsida; Fabales; Fabaceae
Description: long non-coding RNA (AIPA_LNC000947)
Source: RNAcentral